CUAGCACUGGAAACAGCAUCACAGAGACACAGGGAAGCAAGCUGGUGCCUCAGAAGAGUCACGCUGGCUGCUGGCAGGAUGUCUCCAGGCUUUGCUGGCGAUCAGAUGGUGGAGGAGCAGCUGAGAUGAAGCACUGCCCUCCUCAGCUUCAGGGAAGAAUCUUUAUGAGGGCAGAACACUGGCUUUUGAGUAUCCUAUAAAUAAAACCAGACCCAGUAUAGGGGUCAGUAAAAACACCUUUGCACCUGCUAAAGCUUCCUCAGAUUUGCCCUUAGUAAAACCAAAGCUGGAAUACAGACACAAACUCUUCUCUCACAAAAUCUUGCUGCUGGGUGUCCCUGUUGUGCAGUACCUAUAGGGUGGCCCAGGGCUUGCUGCUUCCUAUAAUCUCAAGCCUGCUAUGGACCUUGCUGUAGAAUGGAUGUGGCUGACAUUUAGCAGGAACACUAGCUCCUGUCACAACAGUGCCUGGGGAGAUGCAGCCAUGCUCAACCAUCCAGCUGAUGCAACCUGCUGUUUUGCAAGCUCAGUCAGCACCUCACUUCAUUGAAGAAAUGCUCCUGGCUAACACUGGGUGAUGUUUUCCAGAAAUGGCAUGGGCAGGAAAGAGGUUUUACUUGGCAUAAGCUGGCCUCAGCGCAACCUCUCCAGUGCUCUUCUGGGUGGAAGAAGCCAGCUUGGAUGAGUUUGGAGCUAAGCUGUGUUUAGCCACUCCACAAAGUCUAGAAGGACUGAAUGAAUGGCAUGUGGAUGCUCAGCCUCCUCUCCUGCCAGCCCCACUUGCAGAGGCCUCUCCAGGCACUGGGGAGCUGCUCUCCGUGGGACAAGCCAGGUACCUUUCCGUGCAUAAGAUUCAUGUGGUGGAGCACCGGCACAUGGACAAAGCUGGAGGCAGGUCAGAACAGAGAUGACUUGUUAGAAUCUCCCUCCUGGCAAAGGCUCUGGGUAAGGGCUUUAAUACUCUCUACUUGACAAACGUAAUUGCAAGUCAUGAGAAUACAAAGAUCUCCUAUUGUUCGGAUGCUGGAAGUUUAGGAAAGCAAAGAAUAUGUAUCUAUAUCUUCUUUUAAUGCAAAAAAAGGUCUUCUUGUUAUGCCAGAGCCUGCCUCUCUCCUUCAGUAUGUCCUCUGCUCUAGUGACACUCUGUCUGGAGCCCAGCUCCGCAGUCCUCUCGAACAAGUCUGGACCAUAUCCAGGUCUGGAGUCCUCAGCACAAGAAAGACAUGGACCUGUCUGAGCUAGUCCAAAGGAGGCCACAAAAAUGACCAGAGGGCUGGAAUACCUCGUCAGUGAAGAGAAGCUAAGAGACUUGGGUUUGUUCAGCCUGGAGAAGAGGGAGGCUCUGGGGGAGACCUUACUGUGGCCUCUCAGUCCUGAAAGAGGGCCUGUAAGAAAGCUCCAUCCGGCUCAGCGUUUGCUACAGAAAGAGUGGAGAGAGAGAGAGAGAGAGAGAGAGAAGAUGCCUUAGCGCUCAUCACACAGGCUGGUUUCAAGGGAGAUGCUUCAGGCUGAGGACUCUAUAUCCCCACUCAAGCACCUUUAUUGCAGCAAACAGUUUCCUUCCCUGGGCCUCCCUCAUUUUGCAGCUGGGUCUCUCCUUACUGCAUCUGCCUCUUUCCACUGGCAGAAACACUGUGACGGUGCAAGGUCCUGUCAAGACUGGGUUCACUUCUAGUGACUUUUCCUACCAGCUGCUAGGGAGCAAAGGAAGUUUUUGCUAUCUCUUACCAUGGAUUCAAGGGUAACAGAAAUUCUUGCUGAUGCUGCCCUGAUGCUGAAGAAAAUUCAGAGUAAUUUCUUUCUGAUGCCAUUGUGUUUGCACCAAAAUGAAGUGGGGCAAAAACCAAGUCACUGAAGAUCUUUGUGGUUGGACCUGAGGUCUCACUGCUGGGAGCAAGCUGUAAUUUGGUGGGCAUCUCCAUGGAGAAGCUGACCCUGACUUGACAGCUGGGAUCACAUAGGUGGAACAUACAGCUGGUAUGCUCUGAAAAAGAGCCUGGAUUUGUUUGGCAAAAGGCAGGACUGAGAAGCAUGACAUUGGUUUGCUUAUAAAUUCAGAAGUCAUUCACAUGGAAGAAUUGGACUGCAUCUCUAUUAACCACCAGUAGACCAAUAGCAGGGAGUCUGUAGAGUGAACCAGUAAUGGUGCUGAGGACCUGACAGCCACACUGUUUAAUGUUUUAAGGCUUUUACUUUGGGCUAACACUGGUCCAGACCCAGGCGUUGUAGCAUGUUACAUGCUCAGUUCAUCUGAAAUGAGUCCAGGUUUUGUGCUCAGAUGACUCUGCAAUGGCAACCACUGCACAGUGAGAAGGAUAUUAGAGGACUUAAGAAGCACUCUCCUGUUCUGAAUGAAGCCACUAAUGCAGGAAUUCCUGGUGAGCAGGACCUGAAGAGCAGCAACAGCCCAUGUUCUCAUCCCUCUGCACCAUAUGGGAUUUUGAAAACACAGCUGGCUUGAACACUGACUUCGGCAGUGAAAGCUGCAUUUUCCCUUGUGUGGAAGCAUUUCCUGUCUUCUUGGAUUUGCCUUUUUUAAAACCAGAGUAAAAUCAUGGAAUCAUAGAAUCACUUAGGUUGGAAAAGACCUUUAAGAUCAUCAAUACCAUCUGUUAACCCAGCACUGGCAAGUCCACCAUUAAACCAUGUUACCAAGCACAAGAUCUACAUGAUGGUGACCCAGCGAGUUCCACAGGCAGCCUGUUCCAGGGCUUGACCACACUUUUGGUGAAGAUUUUUUUUCCUAAUCUCAAGUCCCCCCUGGCACAGCUUGAGGCCAUUCCCUCUUGUGCUAUUCACUCUAAAAGAAUUGCACUGCCCUAGACAUCACCAGCUCCAGGCUGAAUCCUAGCCCUGAAAGGAGAGCAGUUCUGCUUGGUUUUGGGAGCAGGUGCCGAGCACUCUUUUAAAUCCUUUGCUUUAGACUUGCUUACAGACCACUGCUGCAAUGCAUGGUGACCAUU
Pogoniulus pusillus (Red-fronted tinkerbird) is the source of this 2963-nucleotide long non-coding RNA. RefSeq lists it as uncharacterized. The record is from RefSeq and is a predicted model, not a curated record. NCBI's taxonomy places the organism in Eukaryota, Metazoa, Chordata, Aves, Piciformes, Lybiidae. The transcript has 3 exons.